GUAUCAUCGUAAGGAUGGUGAUCAAUCUGGAUAGAUCGAUAUACAAAUCACUUCUUUUGAGGUAGAUGAGUCUCUAAUCUAUAGUAUAGAGAUACUGAGUGAUAAGUGCAGAUAGUUGUUAGAGAACAACUAAUACUGAGUGUGACCAUAUGAGAGAUCACAUGGAUUUCUAUUCAAUCAUCAGUGAUCAUCUUGAUACUGUAGUUAUGUGAGUGGUUCUUUGACCUGUGAUGGUA
This 236-nucleotide long non-coding RNA is filed under the name Elaeis guineensis (African oil palm). Its description in RNAcentral is "long non-coding RNA (EGUI_LNC024156)". The record is from RNAcentral. Lineage: Eukaryota; Viridiplantae; Streptophyta; Magnoliopsida; Arecales; Arecaceae.